This is a non-coding RNA of Macaca mulatta (Rhesus monkey), 1678 nucleotides long. Lineage: Eukaryota; Metazoa; Chordata; Mammalia; Primates; Cercopithecidae. The record is from RefSeq and is a predicted model, not a curated record.
UCUCAGGAGGGGACACCGUGCCACAGAUGCAACUGGCUGGGACAUGGCCCUGGUUGGGGUGGCCACUGCAGGCCUCCUUGAGGAGGAAAUGGUUGAGGAGAAAAAAAAUAGUCCUGGAACUUGACACAGAAUAAGAACUCAGCAGGUAGCAAAAACUCCUAAUUAGAAACACUCAGUAAAGAAUUCGUCACUUCCUUUUAAAGAAUGGUGUAAUUACUUUUAAGAAUUGAAAAAUUGCUUCAUUUGAUCAAAUAUUUUGAUUAGCAAAGAAAUUAAUUGUACUGUAUCUUCAUUUGUAUUUACAGUGAAUAAAUGAAUGCUAAAAAUAACAACAGCAGGAAAACUGCCUGUCAAAAAACAAAAAAAAGAUAAAACAUUAAAAAAUCCAGAUGAAAAUAAAGUGGAAGCUCUGAGGAAGCUUCCUGCUACAGACCUUGCUGCCGGAUCAAGAAACACGCUGGCCUCCGAAGGGCUCCGCACAUGCCUGAGGGGAGCCUCUGGUGUGUCAGGAGGUCGGGCCCAGGUGACUGCCCAAUGGGAGUAGAUACUCCAGCACAGUGUUUGCACAAGUGAGGCAGUUUCAUCAGAAUUCCAGGCACAGUUCCAGACUUUCUGGUGGCAUAACUGCUGCCCAGGCCUGGGAUCUCUUACCACACAAGGAUUCCUUCUGGGCAAUGAACAAUAGCUAAUCCAAAGAUUCCAGAACUUCCUUUGCAAAGACCAUCAGUCAAGUCAAGCUUCAAGUGAAUUCAACCAGUGCUUACUGAAAACUGACCCCAGAGUACCAGUGGCCUUCCUUCUUGUGUCUCCUUUACCCAGACACUGGGCUGGGCAACAGGGAAUCUUCUCUGGUCCUCACAUCACCCUGCGAGGCAGCCACGGCUCUCCCUGCUGUGCAGACAAAGUAAGUGGGGCUCGGUUCCAAGCUCCUGCCAGCCGGUGCUGGAGAUGGAGAUUGUUUGACUCCAAAGCCACGCUCCUCCGAUUUCAGCACAAGUCCAACCACCUACCACAUGUGCAAGAACGCAGAAGCCUCUGAAAAUCCGAACUCAGCAACACUGAUGAGGGCUCAUGACAUGCCAGGCACACUCCCAGGCAGGAGUGACAGAGCAGUGAACCAAAAGCCCUACCCCUGGAGAAGCUGAUGUUUUGAGACACCCACCCAGGGAGGCAAGCAAGGGUGGAGUGGACCACCCUACUAGCUCGGCCCCUUGGCUCUCCUCACAGAAUCCUUUGCCAUGGGCCUCCCCCACUGUCCUGCCCUGGCCAUGCCCAAAGUGUGGUGCCUCCCAAGCCCCAGGCUCUGCAAGCACUAACUCUCCUCCCAGGAAGCCCCAUCUCCUGCGAUCCACCUGGGCUGGCUCCUCAACUCAAGCUUCUAGACUCGGUGCAAGCUCAUCAGAAAGCCGUUUCUGCCCAUCCUUCCCCCACUUACAGAGUUAGAUCCUCCUCCUCCUCGUCAUCCUCCUCGUCCUCCCGCUCCUCCUCCCAGCUCUCUGUGCUUACCUCAGUCAUACAGCUUGACGUUCACAAAGGAUCUAUGCUGAGGCCUUUGCAAACACUGAUUCACAAAUCCUCCAGUUGCAUCGAAUUGCCAUACAAUGCAAAGAAAUAAAAGGGAAACAUUUAAGCCGCCCUUCGACCCUUUAAUGAUUCAAUAAAUUCAUGGGUGAAGUCA